RNAcentral lists this ribosomal RNA (253 nucleotides) under uncultured bacterium. RNAcentral's name for it is "partial 16S ribosomal RNA". It matches the Rfam family "Bacterial small subunit ribosomal RNA", at positions 524 to 776 of the family's 1533-position model. The record is from RNAcentral.
UACGAAGGGGGCGAGCGUUGUUCGGAGUUACUGGGCGUAAAGGGCGCGUAGGCGGCGAUCCAAGUUAGGCGUGAAAGCCCCGGGCUUAACCUGGGAAUUGCGCUUAAGACUGGACUGCUUGAGUGCGGGAGAGGUGAGUGGAAUUCCCAGUGUAGAGGUGAAAUUCGUAGAUAUUGGGAAGAACACCGGUGGCGAAGGCGCUCAUCUGGCCCAAUACUGACGCUGAGGCGCGAAAGCUAGGGGAGCAAACGGG